Molecule: non-coding RNA, 277 nt
Organism: Erinaceus europaeus (western European hedgehog)
Lineage: Eukaryota; Metazoa; Chordata; Mammalia; Eulipotyphla; Erinaceidae
Source: Rfam
GGAUGAAAGUGACUUGGCUGCAUCAUCUGUCACCCCAUUGGUCACCAGGAUUGAUGUGAGGCUGCUAGGCAAGUGUCCCCUUCAUUACUCACUGCUCCAUGUGUGUGCUUGGCCAAAGGGGAUGCCCUUCCCCGAGUAGAGACAGACUAGUCUUCAGUCGAGGUUGUAUGAGAAGUUUCUCACCCCUGCUAAAUUCUCAAAACAAGCUCUCCUGGUCCAUCAAAAAGGUAAAAAUUAGCCCCUGUAUUUUCAUAUUUUCAUUAUUUUAACAAUUAUU